This 611-nucleotide ribosomal RNA is filed under the name uncultured fungus. Its description in RNAcentral is "eukaryotic LSU rRNA". It matches the Rfam family "Eukaryotic large subunit ribosomal RNA", at positions 24 to 664 of the family's 3401-position model. The record is from RNAcentral. Lineage: Eukaryota; Fungi.
CCCGCUGAACUUAAGCAUAUCAAUAAGCGGAGGAAAAGAAACCAACAGGGAUUGCCUCAGUAACGGCGAGUGAAGCGGCAACAGCUCAAAUUUGAAAUCUGGCACCCGCCCGAGUUGUAAUUUGCAGAGGAGGCUUUGGAGUCGCCCCGGUCCAAGUUCCUUGGAACAGGACGUCGUAGAGGGUGAGAAUCCCGUACGCGGCCGGAUGGCUUCUCCGUGUAAAGCCCCUUCGACGAGUCGAGUUGUUUGGGAAUGCAGCUCUAAAUGGGAGGUAAAUUUCUUCUAAAGCUAAAUACCGGCCAGAGACCGAUAGCGCACAAGUAGAGUGAUCGAAAGAUGAAAAGCACUUUGAAAAGAGAGUUAAAAAGUACGUGAAAUUGUUGAAAGGGAAGCGUUUGUAGCCAGACUUGGCGGCAGUUGCUCAACCGGUCUUUGCCCGGUGCACUCUUCUGCCGACAGGCCAGCAUCAGUUCGGGCGGCCGGAUAAAGGCAUUGGGAACGUGGCUCCUCGGAGUGUUAUAGCCCUUUGCACAAUGCGGCCAGCCCGGACUGAGGACCGCGAUUCACGGAUGCUGGCUUAAUGGCUGCCAACGGCCCGUCUUGAAACACGG